RNAcentral lists this ribosomal RNA (406 nucleotides) under uncultured bacterium. RNAcentral's name for it is "bacterial SSU rRNA". It matches the Rfam family "Bacterial small subunit ribosomal RNA", at positions 354 to 776 of the family's 1533-position model. The record is from RNAcentral.
GUAAGGAAUCUUGCGCAAUGGGCGAAAGCCUGACGCAGCGACGCCGUGUGAGGGAUGAAGGCCUUCGGGUCGUAAACCUCUUUUCUGGGGGAAGAGCAAGGACGGUACCCCAGGAAUAAGUCUCGGCUAACUACGUGCCAGCAGCCGCGGUAAAACGUAGGAGGCGAGCGUUAUCCGGAUUCACUGGGCGUAAAGGGCAUGUAGGCGGCGCCUUAAGUGGGGCGUGAAAUCUCCCGGCUCAACUGGGAGGGGUCGCUUCAUACUGGGGCGCUUGAGGGCGGGAGAGGGAGGUGGAAUUCCCGGUGUAGCGGUGGAAUGCGUAGAUAUCGGGAGGAACACCAGUGGCGAAGGCGGCCUCCUGGCCCGCCCCUGACGCUGAAAUGCGAAAGCGUGGGGAGCGAACAGG